GGCUUCUUCCCAACACCAGGGU
This 22-nucleotide microRNA is filed under the name Salmo salar (Atlantic salmon). Lineage: Eukaryota; Metazoa; Chordata; Actinopteri; Salmoniformes; Salmonidae. The record is from RNAcentral.